Molecule: ribosomal RNA, 347 nt
Filed under: Pseudo-nitzschia galaxiae
Lineage: Eukaryota; Bacillariophyta; Bacillariophyceae; Bacillariales; Bacillariaceae
Description: LSU rRNA
Rfam family: Eukaryotic large subunit ribosomal RNA
Source: RNAcentral
GUUCCUUGGAAAAGGACAGCUGAGAGGGUGACACUCCCGUCCGCCUGGUAGAAUGAGUCUUUGUCAACGAGUCGAGUUGUUUGGGAUUGCAGCUCUAAUUUGGUGGUAAAUUCCAUCUAAAGCUAAAUAUUGGUGGGAGACCGAUAGCGUACAAGUACCGCGAGGGAAAGAUGCAAAGAACUUUGAAAAGAGAGUUAAAGAGUACCUGAAAUUGCUGAAACGGAAGCGAAGGAAACCAGUGUUUGUUGGUUCAUAUUUCCCUUGUCACUUGUGAUGUGGGCGCUGUGAGCUUGCGUGGGUUUGCUUUGGUUGAUUCCUUUGGAAGAGCGCAGUCAGAGUUGAUGUCU